GAAACUCGAUAACUAGUGUGAAUUGCAGAAUUCCGUGAAUCAUCGAGUCUUUGAACGCACAUUGCGCCCCCUGGUAUUCCGGGGGGCAUGCCUGUCCGAGCGUCAUUGCUGCCCAUCAAGCACGGCUUGUGUGUUGGGUCGUCGUCCCCUCUCCGGGGGGGACGGGCCCCAAAGGCAGCGGCGGCACCGCGUCCGAUCCUCGAGCGUAUGGGGCUUUGUCACCCGCUCUGUAGGCCCGGCCGGCGCUUGCCGAACGCAAAUCAAUCUUUUUCCAGGUUGACCUCGGAUCAGGUAGGGAUACCCGCUGAACUUAAGC
RNAcentral lists this unclassified non-coding RNA (316 nucleotides) under plant metagenome. RNAcentral's name for it is "partial contains 5.8S ribosomal RNA, internal transcribed spacer 2, and large subunit ribosomal RNA". The stretch from base 1 to 105 matches the Rfam family "5.8S ribosomal RNA", at positions 50 to 154 of the family's 154-position model. The record is from RNAcentral.